This 937-nucleotide small RNA is filed under the name Pongo abelii (Sumatran orangutan). RNAcentral describes it as "retained intron". Lineage: Eukaryota; Metazoa; Chordata; Mammalia; Primates; Hominidae. The record is from RNAcentral.
GGUUCCCCAGAAGAAGGGCCCAGGUGGGUGCCGUCCAGGGGCCUCCCUCUGCCUCUUAUGUUUCCUGGGUUCUCAGUUGGUUCUUUGCCCAGCAUCAAAGCCCACAGGUGCCCACAGGCAUGGUGGGAGGGGAGCCUGGGGGUGGGGACUUGGCUUUCCAGGCCCUGCAGGAGGAGGAAGGCCGCCCCCCGGCCAGCUAGAGGAAGAGCCUCUUGCAGGGAGCACACCCCGCCCCUCCCUGGUCCUGGCUGCUCAGGAGUGCCAAGAAACACAACUUAGACACGAAACGUGGAGGGGUGCGGGCUCCAUGGCUGCGGCUUUCUCGGGUCUUACUGUUGGAAGUGAACCAGGUGUCCUUAGGAAACUCUCUUAUAAACAACGCUGGAUUUUGUGGCUGUUUCCUUCAGGAAGGGAAGGAGUUUGCCGACAGCCAGAAGUUGCUGUUCAUGGAAACUUCGGCCAAACUGAACCACCAGGUGUCAGAGGUGUUCAAUACCAUGGCCCAAGAGCUACUGCAGAGAGACGACAGGGAGGGCCAGGCUCCUCGGGGGGACGCAGCUGUGGCUCUGAACGAGGGGCCCGCGAGGCAGGCCAAAUGCUGUGCCCACUAGGUGCAGCCACUCCUGGGGGCUGUGGGGAAGACGCCCCCUGCCUGGGCCGUGGCCAGCUCUAGGUGGAUUCUGAUUCACUGUCAAUGCUGGGUUGCUUCCAAGCCCUAGAUGUUCCUGGAAGUUGGCCCCCUUUAUAAAAACCACUUCCCACAGCCAGUGGGAACCUCCAGAGGAAGAUCUGGCGUUGCAUGGCUCCCAGGAAAGUGCUGUGCCCCAUCCCCACUGAUACCAUCUGAUUCCCCGAUGCCUGUGCCUGUCCCACCUGGACGGUGGCCCCCUCAGCCUGGCAGCCUCUGGAGAGGAAGGAAGGAUUGGAAAAGUCCCCC